This 476-nucleotide ribosomal RNA is filed under the name Escherichia coli. RNAcentral's name for it is "bacterial SSU rRNA". It matches the Rfam family "Bacterial small subunit ribosomal RNA", at positions 1 to 473 of the family's 1533-position model. Lineage: Bacteria; Pseudomonadati; Pseudomonadota; Gammaproteobacteria; Enterobacterales; Enterobacteriaceae. The record is from RNAcentral.
AAAUUGAAGAGUUUGAUCAUGGCUCAGAUUGAACGCUGGCGGCAGGCCUAACACAUGCAAGUCGAACGGUAACAGGAAACAGCUUGCUGUUUCGCUGACGAGUGGCGGACGGGUGAGUAAUGUCUGGGAAACUGCCUGAUGGAGGGGGAUAACUACUGGAAACGGUAGCUAAUACCGCAUAACGUCGCAAGACCAAAGAGGGGGACCUUCGGGCCUCUUGCCAUCGGAUGUGCCCAGAUGGGAUUAGCUUGUUGGUGGGGUAACGGCUCACCAAGGCGACGAUCCCUAGCUGGUCUGAGAGGAUGACCAGCCACACUGGAACUGAGACACGGUCCAGACUCCUACGGGAGGCAGCAGUGGGGAAUAUUGCACAAUGGGCGCAAGCCUGAUGCAGCCAUGCCGCGUGUAUGAAGAAGGCCUUCGGGUUGUAAAGUACUUUCAGCGGGGAGGAAGGGAGUAAAGUUAAUACCUUUGCU